Molecule: ribosomal RNA, 253 nt
Filed under: uncultured bacterium
Lineage: Bacteria
Description: partial 16S ribosomal RNA
Rfam family: Bacterial small subunit ribosomal RNA
Source: RNAcentral
UACGAAGGGGGCUAGCGUUGCUCGGAAUGACUGGGCGUAAAGGGCGCGUAGGCGGCUUUGUAAGUUAGAGGUGAAAGCCCGGGGCUCAACCCCGGAACUGCCUUUGAGACUGCGUCGCUCGAAUCCGGGAGAGGCGGGUGGAAUUCCGAGUGUAGAGGUGAAAUUCGUAGAUAUUCGGAAGAACACCAGUGGCGAAGGCGGCCCGCUGGACCGGCAUUGACGCUGAGGUGCGAAAGCGUGGGGAGCAAACAGG